AAUAGCUCACUGGUCGAGUCGGCCUGCGCGGAAGAUGUAACGGGGCUAAACCAUGCACCGAAGCUGCGGCAGCGACACUAUGUGUUGUUGGGUAGGGGAGCGUUCUGUAAGCCUGCGAAGGUGUGCUGUGAGGCAUGCUGGAGGUAUCAGAAGUGCGAAUGCUGACAUAAGUAACGAUAAAGCGGGUGAAAAGCCCGCUCGCCGGAAGACCAAGGGUACCUGUCCAACGUUAAUCGGGGCAGGGUGAGUCGACCCCUAAGGCGAGGCCGAAAGGCGUAGUCGAUGGGAAACAGGUUAAUAUUCCUGUACUUGGUGUUACUGCGAAGGGGGGACGGAGAAGGCUAUGUUGGCCGGGCGACGGUUGUCCC
Molecule: ribosomal RNA, 368 nt
Filed under: Stenotrophomonas sp. MY17
Lineage: Bacteria; Pseudomonadati; Pseudomonadota; Gammaproteobacteria; Lysobacterales; Lysobacteraceae
Description: partial 23S ribosomal RNA
Rfam family: Bacterial large subunit ribosomal RNA
Source: RNAcentral